UGCCCGCCCCCUGCUCCUCCGGCACCGAGUAAUUCAGGUUCUUCAGAGUCAGGGCAGGAGCCCAGCAGAAGAAGAAGCAACAAAUGGAAAGGUUGCUGAACCUGUUGCUCUAAAACAUCUGCAGAGACACAGGAUGCGGGGCAGCAAAUGGAGCAUGUAGCUCGCAGGGAGGGGCGAGAGGGCGAGAGAAAAGCCGCCUCAAAUCAAGCGCUUCUGCGGCCACACAAUCCCCGCACAGUUAUUUAGCCUGUCCAACUUCAGCUGGAGGAAGAGGAGGAGAAUAAAAAAUA
This is a long non-coding RNA of Gopherus evgoodei (Goodes thornscrub tortoise), 290 nucleotides long. RefSeq lists it as uncharacterized. NCBI's taxonomy places the organism in Eukaryota, Metazoa, Chordata, Testudines, Testudinidae. The transcript is spliced from 2 exons. The record is from RefSeq and is a predicted model, not a curated record.